RNAcentral lists this transfer RNA (85 nucleotides) under Caudoviricetes sp. Its description in RNAcentral is "tRNA-Thr". It matches the Rfam family "tRNA". From Rfam's summary of the family: Transfer RNA (tRNA) molecules are approximately 80 nucleotides in length. Their secondary structure includes four short double-helical elements and three loops (D, anti-codon, and T loops). Further hydrogen bonds mediate the characteristic L-shaped molecular structure. tRNAs have two regions of fundamental functional importance: the anti-codon, which is responsible for specific mRNA codon recognition, and the 3' end, to which the tRNAs corresponding amino acid is attached (by aminoacyl-tRNA synthetases). tRNAs cope with the degeneracy of the genetic code in two manners: having more than one tRNA (with a specific anti-codon) for a particular amino acid; and 'wobble' base-pairing, i.e. permitting non-standard base-pairing at the 3rd anti-codon position. The record is from RNAcentral. Lineage: Duplodnaviria; Heunggongvirae; Uroviricota; Caudoviricetes.
GGGUGGCUCGUCUAGCUGGGAAAGACAUUCAGAAAGUAAACGGGUUUGGCACUGAAAAAUGUGGGUUCGACUCCCUCGCCACUCA